UUAUUAAGUGGAGGAAAAGAAACUAACAAGGAUUGGUCUAGUAACGGCGAGUGAAGAACCAAUUGUUCCUAUUGUGAAUUGGCGUCAUGCCGAAUUGUGGUCCUGCUUGUUAUGUGGCUGUGGAAAUCUUUUGGAAUGAAGUAGCAUAGAGGGUGAAACUCCUUUCUAAGCAGCCGCACUGAAAGCAGUGGAAGAGUCGAGUUGUUUGGGAUUGCAGCUCAAAUGGGUGGUAAAUUCCAUCUAAAACUAAAUACUUAUGAGAGACCGAUAGCGUACAAGUACCGUGAGGGAAAGAUGCAAAGUAGCGCGAGAGCGCUGUCAAAGAGUACCUGAAAUUGUUGAAAUGGAAGCGAAGGAAAUCAGUGUAAUCCAAUUAGCAAUUUUCAGUUGGCUUGCCUCCUGGACACUGCGAUUGGCAGCGUUUGCCGUGGUUGUGCUUUGUGCAUGGUUUUUGCGCCAGGCGCGACUGCGGCAGGCAAAAUGGUUUUCUUUUUCCCG
RNAcentral lists this ribosomal RNA (498 nucleotides) under Auricula mirabilis. RNAcentral's name for it is "eukaryotic LSU rRNA". It matches the Rfam family "Eukaryotic large subunit ribosomal RNA", at positions 43 to 651 of the family's 3401-position model. Lineage: Eukaryota; Bacillariophyta; Bacillariophyceae; Surirellales; Surirellaceae. The record is from RNAcentral.